This is a long non-coding RNA of Amphimedon queenslandica, 1707 nucleotides long. RefSeq lists it as uncharacterized. The record is from RefSeq and is a predicted model, not a curated record. The transcript has 9 exons. Lineage: Eukaryota; Metazoa; Porifera; Demospongiae; Haplosclerida; Niphatidae.
ACACCUUAAUUAGAAGCCACUCACACAUUAAGUGGGUGUGUUCUGGACUUAACACAAUCAUCUAUACCUCGAUCUGUACAUAUUGUAUCAUGUAUGAUACUGACUGACACAAUGGAGCGAGCAAUGGAGGCUAAAGGAGGUUCUAACACACCAUAGAUACUACAUCUGUAAACAUACACGCUGGUGCAAAGUGGCUGAGACUAGGGUACUCAGUACUGGAACUGUAUUUGAAAAAUCUGGCCCCCAUAGAACAGGAGAGACCUCUGCUUGAGGACCAAUCCUAAAGCCUACACUGAAGAGGACAGCUGAUCAAUUCAUUAUGAGACAUCAUGCUAGGGCUCAGUACUAUACGUAAACACACUGAUACAGAAAACCCACUCCUUCAGCCUUAGUACUAAACAAUCUCAACAGACACUUGAUAUCACAUGAUCUUCAAAAAGUAUUGAAUUUACUGUGAGAUGCUCAUUUCAACAGAAACUGGGAGGGACUGGGUCUAGAACUAGGACUGUAUCAGCAACCAGCACUCUCCAACUUACAACAUACUCAUUAUAGGGGGGCUGCUCUUAGGGAGUGUCUUGCUGCCUGGUGAUGGUGUGUGGAUAAAAAUGGAGAAGCUAACUAUAUGCAAAUACUGUAAAGAGAUUGGGACAAAGAGCUAUAGAACAUUUGACAUUAAUUUUGAAACAAUGUAGAAUUGAAACAGCACUGCAGCACUAGAGGAGGCUCCUCCCAUUGGUAUGUAUAUACUAGAAAGAAUAUAAAACAUUGAGGCCUCCACCUCCUGACUUCACCACCCAGUCACACCCAAAUGUAUGUACAUACAGACAAAUUCUUAGAUUGGAGUGAAGACUUCAUUGACUCCAUUACAUGAAGAUAGUUACAUUACAGAAGAAAAAGAGCUUGAAGGAAUCAAGGAAAGAAGAUGAAGAUGAAGGAAGAAUUUUGCGUUUAUGAGUCCUUGAGUGAGUUUCACAACAAAAAGGCCGGAAGAUUACUUUUUUACAUUCUGUUUGUUGCCAGCCUCCUUCAACUGAUGAAAUGAAGUCAAGUCAUCAAUCCAAGCACUUUAGAAUCUUAAAAGUUAGAUGGUGAUGAGUAGGAGUGUCUCAGUGGAAGGAGUCUGUGCAUUGAUCCAGAGUAUAAUGUACUGUGGAGAUUUGAUGAGAACAGUUUUAAAAUAAGUUGUUAUAAUUCUGUUGCAGCUGAAGUUAAAGAUUUAGAGGGUACUUAAUGUACAUGUAUGUCUCCCUCAGUCUAAAGGUUCUGUCAUCACAAUUAGGUUCCAUGCUUCAAUCAAUCUCUUAUCAUCAUUACAGACUCUCCACUAAUCCUCUUUUAUCAUUGCAAGCUUUCUCUGUUGACAACUGUCACAUUGUCUCAAGAUUUAAUUCUCAUGGUGGUGGGUGGGGUUACAAUGCUGGAUUGAUAGAAGCAAUAUUGUUCAGUUCUGAUUGAGGCAUACUCUUUGGUGGGUUUGUCUAUAUGGAUGGCUUGGUCAAUACAAGUUUAAUGUCAAAGUAAGUUACGUGUACAUGCAUAUUAUGUACAUGUACUUUGAUUUAAAAUGGUCUUAGUUAUUGUGGGUGCUUAAAUGUGAUGGGUUCUCUAAGAAGGGAACUGCUAUACAUAUACAUAUGGUAUUGCAUGUAUCAAUAUUAUUAUUAUUAUUAUUAUAACAAUGACGACAACAAUAAAACCAACAAAAAA